UUGUCUAGGUUUACCAGGAUACUUCCCUCUGAUAAAGAUGACUGAAGAAAUCUUCCCCUCAGAAAAUCACACGGUACCUUUGGCCUAUAAAUAUUACUGGCACUAGGGGCACCUGGGUGGCUCAGUUUGCUAAUCACAGUGUACAACAGGUGCUAAGUCCUGCUGCUAGCCAUCUUUUCAACAUAUGCAUCCCAACAGACUUGUAUAAAUAGUACCUACCACACUAAUUCAACAAAUAUUUUAUGAAUAUGGUGGCUGGGGCAAAGGAGGCAUUCACAGAUGCUGAUUGAAUAAAAAAAAAAAAAGCACUCCUUUGACUUGGUGUGAGGUGCUACCAGCUGCGUGGUAGGAAGAGGAAGAGGAGAGAGCUCUAUAUAAAUAAUAUCAGACUGUUCUGCUACCAAAUAGGACCUGGGCCUCACCCAAGCCAAAGGGCUCUCCGGGAUGCACGUACGACCUACAACCCGCCCCUUGAAAAGGAAAGCAGGGCCCGGGACACUCCGGCUGAGCGCGCAGGGCUUGGAGAGGGAAAGUAACCCGAGUCGGCCUUUUCGGGCGGACCCACCCCCUCCCACGAGUCUCCCCGGGUCCUCCGCCCCGCCCCUCUCUUAUUCCGCGAGCAGCGACCCGAGCUGAAACUUUGUAACCCGAGCGCGCUCGCCGGCGCUCCUCCCUGCCCAAGUCCAGCCCCGGAGGGAGGCGCGGGAGGUGGGACCCGCGGCCGGGCCGGCUCGGGGACGCCGGCGCACGCGGCGCGGAGACCCGGGGGAGCGCGGCGCGGAGAGCGGGAGAGCGGGAG
This is a long non-coding RNA of Canis lupus familiaris (dog), 799 nucleotides long. RefSeq lists it as uncharacterized. The transcript is spliced from 3 exons. The record is from RefSeq and is a predicted model, not a curated record. Lineage: Eukaryota; Metazoa; Chordata; Mammalia; Carnivora; Canidae.